Molecule: ribosomal RNA, 468 nt
Filed under: uncultured bacterium
Lineage: Bacteria
Description: partial 16S ribosomal RNA
Rfam family: Bacterial small subunit ribosomal RNA
Source: RNAcentral
GACGAACGCUGGCGGCGUGCUUAACGCAUGCAAGUCGAACGGAAAGGCCCUGCUUUUGUGGGGUGCUCGAGUGGCGAACGGGUGAGUAACACGUGAGUAACCUGCCCUUGACUUUGGGAUAACUUCAGGAAACUGGGGCUAAUACCGGAUAGGAGCUCCUGCUGCAUGGUGGGGGUUGGAAAGUUUCGGCGGUUGGGGAUGGACUCGCGGCUUAUCAGCUUGUUGGUGGGGUAGUGGCUUACCAAGGCUUUGACGGGUAGCCGGCCUGAGAGGGUGACCGGCCACAUUGGGACUGAGAUACGGCCCAGACUCCUACGGGAGGCAGCAGUGGGGAAUAUUGCACAAUGGGCGGAAGCCUGAUGCAGCAACGCCGCGUGCGGGAUGACGGCCUUCGGGUUGUAAACCACUUUCGCCUGUGACGAAGCGUGAGUGACGGUAAUGGGUAAAGAAGCACCGGCUAACUACGUG